Molecule: ribosomal RNA, 468 nt
Filed under: uncultured bacterium
Lineage: Bacteria
Description: partial 16S ribosomal RNA
Rfam family: Bacterial small subunit ribosomal RNA
Source: RNAcentral
GACGAACGCUGGCGGCGUGCUUAACACAUGCAAGUCGAACGGAAAGGCCCUGCUUUUGUGGGGUGCUCGAGUGGCGAACGGGUGAGUAACACGUGAGUAACCUGCCCUUGACUUUGGGAUAACUUCAGGAAACUGGGGCUAAUACCGGAUAGGAGCUCCUGCUGCAUGGUGGGGGUUGGAAAGUUUCGGCGGUUGGGGAUGGGCUCGCGGCUUAUCAGCUUGUUGGUGGGGUAGUGGCUUACCAAGGCUUCGACGGGUAGCCGGCCUGAGAGGGUGACCGGGGACAUUGGGACUGAGAUACGGCCCAGACUCGUACGGGAGGCAGCAGUGGGGAAUAUUGCACAGUGGGCGGAAGCGUGAUGCAGCAACGCCGCGUGCGGGAUGACGGCCUUCGGGUUGUAAACCGCUUUCGCCUGUGACGAAGCGUGAGUGACGGUAAUGGGUAAAGAAGCACCGGCUAACUACGUG